AGCCUUUUCUGAUCGUAUCCCUCCCUUCUCUCUCUCUCUCUCUGUUAUUACUCCACCAGUUUACAUGGCAGAGCUUCUCUCUCUCUCUGUUUCACUUUCUACCUGUAACUGAGCAAGUUUGAGAGAGAGAUUACUGAGUAACGAGAAUGGAAAAUGAGUAAUAGUAGUUGAAUAAUGUAGUAUUUGAGUAAUGAAAGCAAGUGAGUGAGAUCCAGCUCCUUCUCGUGAUCUCAUCUAAUCGACCCAACCUAAGCGCUAUUUCCGUCUUUAACGCCUCGGUUACUCCAACCAACUUACUAUUCUACUCUUUUUCUCCUUUUUAUUCUCCAUCUCUGUCAUUGUAGGAUUUUAAUUGAGUUGUCAUUGGUAUUUUUUGAACACUAAGAGAUUGAUUGAUCCGAAGACUAGGAUUUGUUUGUUUGGUUUCAGAUAUACAUCUGUCUUCAAUGCUGAAAAGCCUUAUUUUCGAACACGGGCUUGUUUGCUGGAUUAAUUAAUCGUAGUGGGUAUCUUGCUCGGAGAUUGAAGUUGAUAAUUCGAGAAUGUUGACUUGUAUAGCAUGUUCAAAGCAGCUCAACACUGGAUCUCUACGUGAACCAGAAGAAGAUGACACGGCUGCUACACCCAGCAAAAAGCAAGCCAUUAAAGCCCUUACUGCUCAGAUCAAGGAUAUGGCUGCUAAAGCUUCAGGUGCAUAUAAGAACUGUAAGCCAUGUU
Nicotiana tabacum (common tobacco) is the source of this 717-nucleotide non-coding RNA. The record is from RefSeq and is a predicted model, not a curated record. NCBI's taxonomy places the organism in Eukaryota, Viridiplantae, Streptophyta, Magnoliopsida, Solanales, Solanaceae.